CCCAGACUCCUACGGGAGGCAGCAGUGGGGAAUCUUGCGCAAUGGGCGAAAGCCUGACGCAGCAACGCCGCGUGCGGGAAGAAGGCCUUCGGGUUGUAAACCGCUUUCAGCAGGGAAGAAGGCGAGCGGGUUAAUAGCCCGUCAGUUGACGGUACCUGCAGAAGAAGGUCCGGCUAACUACGUGCCAGCAGCCGCGGUAAUACGUAGGGACCGAGCGUUGUCCGGAAUCAUUGGGCGUAAAGAGCGUGUAGGCGGCCACUUAAGUCCUGCGUGAAAUCUCGGGGCUCAACCCCGAGCGGUCGUGGGAAACUGGGUGGCUAGAGUGCGGGAGAGGAGAGUGGAAUUCCUGGUGUAGCGGUGGAAUGCGCAGAUAUCAGGAAGAACACCCGUGGCGAAGGCGGCUCUCUGGAACGCAACUGACGCUGAGACGCGAAAGCGUGGGGAGCAAACAGGAUUAGAUACCCUGGUAGUCCACGCUGUAAACGAUGGAUGCUAGGUGUGGGCGGUGUCGACUCCGUCCGUGCCGAAGCUAACGCAUUAAGCAUCCCGCCUGGGGAGUACGGCCGCAAGGCUAAAACUCAAAGGAAUUGACGGAAUCGAAUU
This 603-nucleotide ribosomal RNA is filed under the name uncultured bacterium. RNAcentral's name for it is "bacterial SSU rRNA". It matches the Rfam family "Bacterial small subunit ribosomal RNA", at positions 330 to 925 of the family's 1533-position model. The record is from RNAcentral.